RNAcentral lists this ribosomal RNA (495 nucleotides) under uncultured bacterium. RNAcentral describes it as "partial 16S ribosomal RNA". It matches the Rfam family "Bacterial small subunit ribosomal RNA", at positions 28 to 507 of the family's 1533-position model. The record is from RNAcentral.
GACGAACGCUGGCGGCGUGCCUAAUACAUGCAAGUCGAACGCUGAAGGAGGAGCUUGCUUCUCUGGAUGAGUUGCGAACGGGUGAGUAACGCGUAGGUAACCUGCCUGGUAGCGGGGGAUAACUAUUGGAAACGAUAGCUAAUACCGCAUAAGAGUAGAUGUCGCAUGACAUUUGCUUAAAAGGUGCAAUUGCAUCACUACCAGAUGGACCUGCGUUGUAUUAGCUAGUUGGUGAGGUAACGGCUCACCAAGGCAACGAUACAUAGCCGACCUGAGAGGGUGAUCGGCCACACUGGGGCUGAGACACGGCCCAGACUCCUACGGGAGGCAGCAGUAGGGAAUCUUCGGCAAUGGACGGAAGUCUGACCGAGCAACGCCGCGUGAGGGGAGAAGGUUUUCGGAUCGUAAAGCUCUGUUGUAAGAGAAGAACGAGUGUGAGAGUGGAAAGUUCACACUGUGACGGUAUCUUACCAGAAAGGGACGGCUAACUACGUG